Molecule: ribosomal RNA, 237 nt
Filed under: Bacillus thuringiensis
Lineage: Bacteria; Bacillati; Bacillota; Bacilli; Caryophanales; Bacillaceae
Description: partial 23S ribosomal RNA
Rfam family: Bacterial large subunit ribosomal RNA
Source: RNAcentral
GUGAAAGGCCAAUCAAACCGGGAGAUAGCUGGUUCUCCCCGAAAGCUAUUUAGGUAGCGCCUCGUGAACUCAUCUUCGGGGGUAGAGCACUGUUUCGGCUAGGGGGCCAUCCCGGCUUACCAACCCGAUGCAAACUACGAAUACCGAAGAAUGUUAUCACGGGAGACACACGGCGGGUGCUAACGUCCGUCGUGAAGAGGGAAACAACCCAGACCGCCAGCUAAGGUCCCAAAGUCA